Molecule: transfer RNA, 81 nt
Filed under: Zamia fischeri
Lineage: Eukaryota; Viridiplantae; Streptophyta; Cycadopsida; Cycadales; Zamiaceae
Also listed under: 2 other names
Description: tRNA-Lys
Rfam family: tRNA (bases 10-81)
About the family: Transfer RNA (tRNA) molecules are approximately 80 nucleotides in length.
Source: RNAcentral
UCCUAAUAUGGGUUGCUAACUCAAUGGUAGAGUACUCGGCUUUUAACCGACGAGUUCCGGGUUCGAGUCCCGGGCAACCCA